This 305-nucleotide ribosomal RNA is filed under the name uncultured bacterium. RNAcentral describes it as "bacterial SSU rRNA". It matches the Rfam family "Bacterial small subunit ribosomal RNA", at positions 335 to 638 of the family's 1533-position model. The record is from RNAcentral.
AUCCUACGGGGGGCAGCAGUGAGGAAUAUUGGUCAAUGGGCGCAAGCCUGAACCAGCCAAGUCGCGUGAGGGAUGACGGUCCUAUGGAUUGUAAACCUCUUUUGUCGGGGAGCAAGGCCCGCCACGUGUGGCGGGAAGGAGAGUACCCGCAGAAAAAGCAUCGGCUAACUCCGUGCCAGCAGCCGCGGUAAUACGGAGGAUGCGAGCGUUAUCCGGAUUUAUUGGGUUUAAAGGGUGCGUAGGCGGGGGGUUAAGUCAGCGGUUAAAAGUCGGUUGUCAACACCGGCCUGCCGUUUAAACUGGUU